Molecule: microRNA precursor, 63 nt
Filed under: Caenorhabditis briggsae
Lineage: Eukaryota; Metazoa; Nematoda; Chromadorea; Rhabditida; Rhabditidae
Description: Cbr-Mir-36-o25_pre stem-loop
Source: RNAcentral
UGUGGGUGUUCGCCUUUUCGGUGAAGUUACUGAAUGCUUCUUCACCGGGUUAACAUCUACAGA